AUUGAACGCUGGCGGCAUGCCUUACACAUGCAAGUCGAACGGCAGCACGGGAGCAAUCCUGGUGGCGAGUGGCGAACGGGUGAGUAAUAUAUCGGAACGUGCCCAGUCGUGGGGGAUAACGUAGCGAAAGCUACGCUAAUACCGCAUACGAUCUAUGGAUGAAAGCGGGGGAUCGCAAGACCUCGCGCGAUUGGAGCGGCCGAUAUCAGAUUAGGUAGUUGGUGGGGUAAAAGCCUACCAAGCCUUCGAUCUGUAGCUGGUCUGAGAGGACGACCAGCCACACUGGAACUGAGACACGGUCCAGACUCCUACGGGAGGCAGCAGUGGGGAAUUUUGGACAAUGGGCGCAAGCCUGAUCCAGCAAUGCCGCGUGCAGGAUGACGGCCCUACGGGUUGUAAACUGCUUUUAUAUAGGAAUAAACCCCUGAACGUGUUCGGGGCUGAAGGUACUAUAUGAAUAAGGAUCGGCUAACUCCGUGCCAGCAGCCG
This 489-nucleotide ribosomal RNA is filed under the name uncultured bacterium. RNAcentral describes it as "bacterial SSU rRNA". It matches the Rfam family "Bacterial small subunit ribosomal RNA", at positions 30 to 517 of the family's 1533-position model. The record is from RNAcentral.